CAUCCAGGGCUCUCUCUGCCCCCCUGGAAUGUCUCCCUGUACCCCGAGAGCAGCUGAUGGAGAGGGAAAAGAGCAGCGAGAGUGCUGCCGGCCCUCCCCAGUCCUGAAAAGCUUUCCAAGCUUCUUCCCGAGGGGUUGGUGGACCUGGCCACCGGCGAGGCGCUCAAAAAGCUACUGGAUGUGGCACUUAAUGCUACAACUGGUCUGGGUGACAAGGCCUUGCCUGGGGUCCCACUGCUCUGUUCCCGCACUGGUGCCUUCAUUUUACACCCCAGAGUUUGCAACCAAGGGUCAGGAACGCGGGUGUACAGCCCCCCGGAGCAGAUCCGCUUCCACCGCUACCACGGCCACUCAGCCUCCACCUGCUCCCUGGGUGUCCUGC
Long non-coding RNA from Lepidothrix coronata (blue-crowned manakin), 382 nucleotides. RefSeq lists it as uncharacterized. Lineage: Eukaryota; Metazoa; Chordata; Aves; Passeriformes; Pipridae. The transcript is spliced from 4 exons. The record is from RefSeq and is a predicted model, not a curated record.